CGUAAGCGCGCGUAGGCGGCUAAUUAAGUCAAAUGUGAAAUCCCCGAGCUUAACUUGGGAAUUGCAUUCGAUACUGGUUAGCUAGAGUGUGGGAGAGGAUGGUAGAAUUCCAGGUGUAGCGGUGAAAUGCGUAGAGAUCUGGAGGAAUACCGAUGGCGAAGGCAGCCAUCUGGCCUAACACUGACGCUGAGGUGCGAAAGCAUGGGGAGCAAACAGGAUUAGAUACCCUGGUAGUCCAUGCCGUAAACGAUGUCUACUAGCCGUUGGGGCCUUUGAGGCUUUAGUGGCGCAGCUAACGCGAUAAGUAGACCGCCUGGGGAGUACGGUCGCAAGACUAAAACUCAAAUGAAUUGACGGGGGCCCGCACAAGCGGUGGAGCAUGUGGUUUAAUUCGAUGCAACGCGAAGAACCUUACCUGGCCUUGACAUAGUAAGAACUUUCCAGAGAUGGAUUGGUGCCUUCGGGAACUUACAUACAGGUGCUGCAUGGCUGUCGUCAGCUCGUGUCGUGAGAUGUUGGGUUAAGUCCCGCAACGAGCGCAACCCUUUUCCUUAUUUGCCAGCGAGUAAUGUCGGGAACUUUAAGGAUACUGCCAGUGACAAACUGGAGGAAGGCGGGGACGACGUCUAGUCAUCAUGGCCCUUACGGCCAGGGCUA
RNAcentral lists this ribosomal RNA (657 nucleotides) under Acinetobacter calcoaceticus. RNAcentral describes it as "bacterial SSU rRNA". It matches the Rfam family "Bacterial small subunit ribosomal RNA", at positions 559 to 1216 of the family's 1533-position model. Lineage: Bacteria; Pseudomonadati; Pseudomonadota; Gammaproteobacteria; Moraxellales; Moraxellaceae. The record is from RNAcentral.